RNAcentral lists this long non-coding RNA (2438 nucleotides) under Spirodela polyrhiza (greater duckweed). RNAcentral describes it as "long non-coding RNA (SPOL_LNC002450)". Lineage: Eukaryota; Viridiplantae; Streptophyta; Magnoliopsida; Alismatales; Araceae. The record is from RNAcentral.
UGGCCUCACUCAUCUUCCCCUCAUUUAGGAAACAUUAGAACUUAUCAUCAACGGUUCACAUUAAAUAUCAUGCUAUGAUCAUUGACACAGAAAAUUGGGUACAUAAGCCAGCGGAAUUUAUUCAAGGGCGUCCUCAAAUUGAUGAUAUUCUCUUCUCUUUUGAUAGGCUUCGAUGGAUGCCGAUUCAUCACCGUCCUACUGCAGGGGAUUGCUGGCGGGGGAUGAAGACAUGAAGACACUAUGCAAUAUCAAUAUAACAUUUUUCUCUUUCUCAAACUAUAAGAAGACCAAGUUAGAAGGGCAGAAUUUGAGACCCAUGUAGAGAGAUGAAGCAAUAAAAAAGUUUUGUGAAAGAUAAAAUUACCCUUUUGGUAUAUUUACUAUAAUAAUAACGAAAUUGUGUUAUGCAUCUCUAUUAAGGAUAUACACCAAGGUCAAAGAUUAUAAACCUAGAGAUAUGAGCUCAUAAGUCAUUCCAAUGCUGGCCUACCAUGGUUUGUAGGAUAACCCUUCGAUUCAACCUCUAAGAGAGUGACUGUGAACUCUCAUCCUAUGUUAUUAUUUUCUGGUUAAAACAGUUGGGCUGUUAUAAUGGUCAAAGAGGAGAGAGUUAUGGGUUGUAACGGACCUCCCUAUGUUAUAAUGUAUUCCCAUCCAUUUCUCUCUCCCUUUCUCUCUCCUAUCUUCCUCUAUUUAAAGUGCAGGGGGCAUGGGAGAAAGGUGCAAUGUUGUGGAGAGGUUGUGAGAUGAGGAUGAGGGGUUGUUUGACUUCGAGAGAGAAGGUUCUCAAUUGUUUCAUUAUAAUCUCUUUUUCUACUUGAGGAAGAAGAUAUUCGAACAUCAGGGCUAAGAGAGAGACCUAGAAAUUUUAUAUAGAUCACUUUUCCCAUUUGUUCAUCCACAAAAGAAAUACCUCCAACUCUCGAUGUGGAAGUUAGAGAAAUUCUACAAACCGCAUAAAUCUUGACAUACUACUUCAUGUCAUUUCAUGUGUAUAUUAUCGUCUCUGAUUCUUUAGACAUGCUAAUACUUAAUUGGGUAAUAUUUAUUUUUGUUUAGAGAAGAAGGAAGGCUCUCACUUCUUUCACUUUGAUCUCACCUUUUUCUACUUGUAGAAGAAGAUAGUGAACAUUGAUCCAAGGACAGAGACCUAGACAUUCAAUAUAGAACUAUUUUCCCAUUUGCUCUCCCAUCAAAAAAAUAUCUCUAACUCUCUUUGUGGCCGUAACGUAAAUUCUCCAAACCACAUGAAUCUUGACAUAUCACUUCAUGUUAUUUUAUUUGUAUAUAUUCUUGUUGUCUCCAUUAUUUUGUGUGAGAUAUUUUUUUUUAGACACAUUCAUACUUAAUUGGGCAAUAUUUAUUUUUGUUGAGAGAAGAAGGAAGGUUCUCACUCCUUUCAUUUUGAUCUCGCCUUUUUCUACUUGAAGAAAAUGAUAUUCAGCAUCAAGUCAAAGAAAGAGACCUAGACAUUUAAUGUAGAAAUCUUUUCCCAUUUGCUCUCCCAUUGAAGACACAUCUCCAACUUUCUUUGUUGACAUAAAAAGAAUUUCUCCAAACCACAUGAAUAUUGACAUAUCACUUCAUGGCAUUAUUUUAUUUGAAUAAAAAUCUUGCCAUUCUCCAUUAUCUUGCCUCUGAUGCAUUGGACACAUUCAUACUUAAUUGGGCAAUAUAUAUUUUUGUUGACAUAAGAAGGAAGGUUCUCAAUUGUUUCACUUUCUUUUUUAACUCUCAUUUUUCUACUUGAAGAAGAACAUACUCAACAUAAAGUCAAAGAAAGAGACCUAGACGUUUUAUAAGACUCUUUCCCAUUUGUUCUUCCUGUGAAGAUAUAUCUCUAACUCUGUUUGUGGACGCCUAAGAAUUGCUCCAAACCAUAUUAAAAAUUUUCAUACCACCUUCUAUGUGUUAUUUUAUUUGUAUAUAAUCUGGCCAUCUCCAUUAUCUUGCAACUAAUACUUUAGACACAUUCAUACUUAAUUGGGUAACAUGUGUUUCUGCAAUUCAUCUUCUAGUAUUGUUAUUAAUAGCAUUUUUUUUCAAACAACAAACUUUGUGUUCUUAAGGUGGGCUUCACUAGUUCCGAUUGAUUUUAUGCUGUUCUACCAAGGUUUGAAGGUUUUUGCCCCCUUCAAGAUCAAAUCAAAAAGCCCAAGAACAUCUCAUAAUAAGAUAAGAUGGACGAAUUUACUUAGAACAGCAUCUAAUAAUUUUUGGAGAUAUGAUCAGAGGAGAGAUACUCACCGUAGACGCUGAGCUUGAUCUUGAAGCAACAAACACAAGCCUUGAUUUUUAUAGCCCCUUCUCCUGGGGAUGCAUCAUGAGUUCACAACAAAGAUGAAGAUGGAUACACAUAGAGAUAGAUAGAUAUAUAGAUAGAGCAAGAGUGAGAGAGAGAGAGAGAGAGAGAGCAAGAGAGAGAGAGAUAGAGNNNN